GAUGAACGCUGGCGGCGUGCCUAAUACAUGCAAGUCGAGCGAACGGACGAGAAGCUUUCUUCUCUGAUGUUAGCGGCGGACGGGUGAGUAACACGUGGAUAACCUACCUAUAAGACUGGGAUAACUUCGGGAAACCGGAUCUAAUACCGGAUAAUAUUUUGAACCGCAUGGUUCAAAAGUGAAAGACGGUCUUGCUGUCACUUAUAGAUGGAUCCGCGCUGCAUUCGCUAGUUGGUAAGGUAACGGCUUACCAAGGCAACGAUGCAUAGCCGACCUGAGAGGGUGAUCGGCCACACUGGAACUGAGACACGGUCCAGACUCCUACGGGAGGCAGCAGUAGGGAAUCUUCCGCAAUGGGCGAAAGCGUGACGGAGCAACGCCGCGUGAGUGAUGAAGGUCUUCGGAUCGUAAAACUCUGUUAUUAGGGAAGAACAUAUGUGUAAGUAACUGUGCACAUCUUGACGGUACCUAAUCAGAAAGCCACGGCUAACUACGUG
This 497-nucleotide ribosomal RNA is filed under the name uncultured bacterium. Its description in RNAcentral is "partial 16S ribosomal RNA". It matches the Rfam family "Bacterial small subunit ribosomal RNA", at positions 28 to 507 of the family's 1533-position model. The record is from RNAcentral.